CCUACGGGAGGCAGCAGUGAGGAAUAUUGGUCAAUGGGCGUAAGCCUGAACCAGCCAAGUCGCGUGAGGGAUGAAGGUUCUAUGGACCGUAAACCUCUUUUAUAAGGGAAUAAAGUGCGGGACGCGUCCUGUUUUGUAUGUACCUUAUGAAUAAGGAUCGGCUAACUCCGUGCCAGCAGCCGCGGUAAUACGGAGGAUCCGAGGGUUAUCCGGAUUUAAUGGGUUUAAAGGGUGCGUAGGCGGCCUUGUAAGUCAGCGGUGAAAGUCUGUGGCUCAACCAUAGGAUUGCCGUUGAAACUGGGAGGCUUGAGUGUGUUUGAGGCAGGCGGAAUGCGUGGUGUAGCGGUGAAAUGCUUAGAUAUCACGCAGAACCCCGAUGGCGAAGGCAGCCUGCCAGGCCAUGACUGACGCUGAUGCACGAAAGCGUGGGGAUCAAACAGGAUUAGAUACCCCAGUAGUC
This 460-nucleotide ribosomal RNA is filed under the name uncultured bacterium. Its description in RNAcentral is "partial 16S ribosomal RNA". It matches the Rfam family "Bacterial small subunit ribosomal RNA", at positions 338 to 795 of the family's 1533-position model. The record is from RNAcentral.